CCCUAGCCCCGAUAGUAACGGCAUCCUUUUUUGUCAUUGUGCUGAGUAAUUUCUAAAGAUUGCUUCACUUCGUUCACAAUGACAAAAAAGAUAUAGUGGAUAGCGGGAUUAAGC
RNAcentral lists this small RNA (114 nucleotides) under Epilithonimonas zeae. RNAcentral's name for it is "Chryseobacterium zeae Flavo-1 RNA". It matches the Rfam family "Flavo-1 RNA". The record is from RNAcentral. Lineage: Bacteria; Pseudomonadati; Bacteroidota; Flavobacteriia; Flavobacteriales; Weeksellaceae.